This 468-nucleotide ribosomal RNA is filed under the name uncultured bacterium. RNAcentral describes it as "partial 16S ribosomal RNA". It matches the Rfam family "Bacterial small subunit ribosomal RNA", at positions 28 to 507 of the family's 1533-position model. The record is from RNAcentral.
GACGAACGCUGGCGGCGUGCUUAACACAUGCAAGUCGAACGGAAAGGCCCUGCGUUUGUGGGGUGCUCGAGUGGCGAUCGGGUGAGUAACACGUGAGUAACCUGCCCUUGACUUUCGGAUAACUUCAGGAAACGGGGGCUAAUAUCGGAUAGGAGCUCCUGCUGCAUGGUGGGGGUUGGAAAGUUUCGGCGGUUGGGGAUGGACUCGCGGCUUAUCAGCUUGUUGGUGGGGUAGUGGCUUACCAAGGCUUUGACGGGUAGCCGGCAUGAGAGGGUGACCGGCCACAUGGGGACUGAGAUACGGACCAGAGUCCUACGGGAGACAGCAGUGGCGAAUAUUGCACAAUGGGCGGAGGCCUGAUGCAGCAACGCCGCGUGCGGGAUGACGGCCUUCGGGUUAUGAACCGCUUUCGCCUGAGACGAAGCGUGAGUGACGGUAAUGGGUAAAGAAGCACCGGCUAACUACGUG